GUUAUGGACAAUUAAUUUAGUAUCGUGAGUCACAAUCUCCUACAAGACUAGCAAUACCGCUUCUAACACAGAUCAGCAACAAGUUAGCUAUACGGAUAGGUCCACGUCAACGACCGAUUGCUGCGAUAUCAAUCGAAGUGAUAAAUUCAGGCGUGCGACUUAAAAAGGUCCUUGCCAGGGUCCAAUCAAGGUAAAAAGGCAUGUGAAGAAGAUAUUCAUUUGCAUCAGUGGUAAAUUUGGUAAAACUUUUUUAGGUAGCGGAAAUAUCUCUCUCGAUUCACCCGCUUCUCUUCGAUCCCUUAGACAACAAUGGCACAGCCUUAACGCCGUGUACGCAUUGGUGGACUGUAUAAAUUUUACCCGAAAUUAUUGGCCUACUUCAUCCAAUCGCUGCGAAAACGAAGUGACUUUGCCAAGCCAUUGCGGUGUGGGUACACAGUGUGUUAUUGUUUCGUCAGAAGGUCGAGGCUGACACUAUGGAGCUUUCCACUGGUGUGGUAAAGGCGCACAUGAAUCACGAUUAAUUGAUUGAUUGUUGAAUGCCCCUCCUGGGUCGACUGCAAAUAUUAUGAUCGACUACAUCAUGUAUCGACGUAUAACAAACGGGACCUUAGGAUCAGACAUCAAAGUCCUAUGGGCCGGAAUCCUCAGUUGGUGAGAUUUCGAUCACUGUCACGGAUUCGGUGACAGCAUACGACCAGCCUGUCUCUAAGCAGGCCCCCACAACAAGCGUAAAGGCACCACAAAGCGAAUCCGUGAAGCUUACUCCGCCUACAAGCAAAUCGAAAAAGGGUCCUUCAGCCAAAAUUUACGACGAGCAAUCUGCAAUAAAACCUGUUCCACAACAACAACCAGCGGCUGCGGGCUCUGAUUUGGAAAAAUUUCGACACGGUUGUGGAUGUAUGAGCGGAAAACUGAAAUUCGAGCGCGCACGAGGGAUUUUGAGAACUAGAAGAAACAACAUGUGUUGCACUGGCUGUUCUAUAGCGUAGAUUAAAUAGGUUACCGCCAAGUUACCGUAGUAGAAAAUCGUUUUGGAUAGUCUACAGCCGAGCCAAUGAAGGCAACUAGAAUAGAUAACUAAAUGAAUUCGACUAGUCUAUUCGUGGUCUAGGUUAUUAAACAAUUUUCGGUAGCUUCGAUUCAAUAAGUUUGAACUUCAAGUGACUAUACGGGGUAAUUUUAACAUCAGUAAGUCUCAGGCUUGCGUCGUAUGUAAAAUGCUAGCUAGACAAUUUCUAAGAUCAGAAACAAGAAAAGGCGUGAAUCCAAUGGAUAACUAGUACAGUUUGAAAACGCAGCUAACGAGUUUCACUGCUGUGGUAACUGUGUUUUAGUGAACAUCACACAUUCUUUUUAUAAUCAAUGUUGGCACCAUAGAGAGUAGCACCGAUGCUUGUGUUUGUCAGUGUUAAUGAUGAAUGUUUAUUUCGAUUUGACGGAUUCAGCUCGAAAUUUAUUAAAUUUCGUACUACUGAGUACUCGACAAAUGUGGAGAUCAAGAAUACAGACAGUGUUAGAAGGACAAACAUUAAAAAGACAGUGCCCAAACAAAUGAUCAUGGAUUGUGAUGUUCUGGGCUUUGUGUAUAACUCUCUUAAGUUUUAAACCCGUAAAAUGCUCUGUAUCCAGGCCCGAAAGCUUUUUAAGCCCUCUUAAAAACGUUUCAAGCCUCAGCUGUUAAGCGUGCUUCUACGUCGCGCCGUGCUGGGGAAGAACAUAAUAAGUACUUCUACGCAUUAACUUGUCAAACAAUUUCACCAACUGUUUCCACAAAGUAUCAAUAAACACCUGAAUAGGCAAGAUCAAGGAAACUCGUUUUUGGCAGGAUUUCUGAUCCUUAAACAGGAAGGAGAUAUCAAAGGUUCCGAGUCAUCUUUAGGCCAAGCUUUAACAUUGCAUAAGUUUCUGCGAGCCUACUCUAUUAAUUCCAUUGAACUACACGGUUACAUAACAGUAAAUAGCAGUUUUCAAUAAAUAAUUAAACUCUUUGCGUGAGUGAUUCCGUUUUGUGCAACUCCGUUUGGCCUGUUCGAAUGAUUUGUUGUCCUGCUGACCCUGUCAAUUCAUAGGUCGACGUCGAAAGACACCGUAGACACCACAAAAAAUAACAAGUAAAAUACCAGUGAAUAUCUGACUGCGCGUUCCGCGGUAGAACACAGGUGAGAGCUUAGAACAGUUACGAAGAUGGUGCAAUCUAUUUCAGAGAUCACGAAACAAAUGUCCGUAUACUUCGUGCUAGAAAGCUAUAGAUAACACUAGAUCCACAUCAUCUUCCACGAUCGCCUAGGUUCCGACAGCAUUUGCGUCUACUGGAAAAAUUGCAACAGUGCUAUCCGUCAACCUGAAACUUCCUAGGUUUAUUGAGUAGCCAAGCUGAAGUGCUUCUCUUGGUGAAAGCAUUGGAUCUACAGAACAAAUGGCUUACCAAUAAAUGACUAC
Varroa destructor (honeybee mite) is the source of this 2442-nucleotide long non-coding RNA. RefSeq lists it as uncharacterized. The record is from RefSeq and is a predicted model, not a curated record. Lineage: Eukaryota; Metazoa; Arthropoda; Arachnida; Mesostigmata; Varroidae.